RNAcentral lists this ribosomal RNA (490 nucleotides) under uncultured bacterium. Its description in RNAcentral is "partial 16S ribosomal RNA". It matches the Rfam family "Bacterial small subunit ribosomal RNA", at positions 30 to 507 of the family's 1533-position model. The record is from RNAcentral.
AUUGAACGCUGGCGGCAGGCCUAACACAUGCAAGUCGAACGGUAACAGGAAGAAGCUUGCUUCUUUGCUGACGAGUGGCGGACGGGUGAGUAAUGUCUGGGAAACUGCCUGAUGGAGGGGGAUAACUACUGGAAACGGUAGCUAAUACCGCAUAACGUCGCAAGACCAAAGAGGGGGACCUUCGGGCCUCUUGCCAUCGGAUGUGCCCAGAUGGGAUUAGCUAGUAGGUGGGGUAACGGCUCACCUAGGCGACGAACCCUAGCUGGUCUGAGAGGAUGACCAGCCACACUGGAACUGAGACACGGUCCAGACUCCUACGGGAGGCAGCAGUGGGGAAUAUUGCACAAUGGGCGCAAGCCUGAUGCAGCCAUGCCGCGUGUAUGAAGAAGGCCUUCGGGUUGUAAAGUACUUUCAGCGGGGAGGAAGGGAGUAAAGUUAAUACCUUUGCUCAUUGACGUUACCCGCAGAAGAAGCACCGGCUAACUCCGUG